GCCUUUGUGGCGUAAUGGCUAACGCGUCUGACUGUGAGUAUAUCUGACGUUCAGCGUUCGAGUUUCAAUAUCUAAUCAAAUAAAAUAGUCUAAGCACGAAAUCAGAAGAUUGCGGGUUCGAGUCCCGCCUAAGGUU
RNAcentral lists this transfer RNA (136 nucleotides) under Fusarium pseudograminearum CS3096. RNAcentral's name for it is "tRNA-His for anticodon GUG". It matches the Rfam family "tRNA". Rfam says of the family: Transfer RNA (tRNA) molecules are approximately 80 nucleotides in length. The record is from Rfam by way of RNAcentral. Lineage: Eukaryota; Fungi; Ascomycota; Sordariomycetes; Hypocreales; Nectriaceae.